UACGUAGGUGGCAAGCGUUGUCCGGAAUUAUUGGGCGUAAAGGGCUCGUAGGCGGUCUGUCACGUCGGGAGUGAAAACUCAGGGCUUAACCCUGAGCCUGCUUCCGAUACGGGCAGACUAGAGGUAUGCAGGGGAGAACGGAAUUCCUGGUGUAGCGGUGAAAUGCGCAGAUAUCAGGAAGAACACCAAUGGCGAAGGCAGCUCUCUGGGACGGUACUGACGCUGAGACGCGAAAGCGUGGGGAGCGAACAGG
RNAcentral lists this ribosomal RNA (253 nucleotides) under uncultured bacterium. RNAcentral's name for it is "partial 16S ribosomal RNA". It matches the Rfam family "Bacterial small subunit ribosomal RNA", at positions 524 to 776 of the family's 1533-position model. The record is from RNAcentral.